AGAGUUUGAUCCUGGCUCAGAUUGAACGCUGGCGGCAUGCCUUACACAUGCAAGUCGAACGGCAGCAUGAUCUAGCUUGCUAGAUUGAUGGCGAGUGGCGAACGGGUGAGUAAUACAUCGGAACGUGCCCUGUAGUGGGGGAUAACUAGUCGAAAGAUUAGCUAAUACCGCAUACGACCUGAGGGUGAAAGUGGGGGACCGCAAGGCCUCAUGCUAUAGGAGCGGCCGAUGUCUGAUUAGCUAGUUGGUGGGGUAUAGGCCCACCAAGGCGACGAUCAGUAGCUGGUCUGAGAGGACGAUCAGCCACACUGGGACUGAGACACGGCCCAGACUCCUACGGGAGGCAGCAGUGGGGAAUUUUGGACAAUGGGCGAAAGCCUGAUCCAGCAAUGCCGCGUGUGUGAAGAAGGCCUUCGGGUUGUAAAGCACUUUUGUCCGGAAAGAAAUGGCUCUGGUUAAUACCUGGGGUCGAUGACGGUACCGGAAGAAUAAGGACCGGCUAACUACGUGCCAGCAGCCGCGGUAAUACGUAGG
Molecule: ribosomal RNA, 534 nt
Filed under: uncultured bacterium
Lineage: Bacteria
Description: bacterial SSU rRNA
Rfam family: Bacterial small subunit ribosomal RNA
Source: RNAcentral